This 1222-nucleotide ribosomal RNA is filed under the name Cellulophaga sp. Its description in RNAcentral is "bacterial SSU rRNA". It matches the Rfam family "Bacterial small subunit ribosomal RNA", at positions 213 to 1452 of the family's 1533-position model. Lineage: Bacteria; Pseudomonadati; Bacteroidota; Flavobacteriia; Flavobacteriales; Flavobacteriaceae. The record is from RNAcentral.
AUACGGGUAAGAAGGGUAGCGUACCAUUGUUUGUGGUAAGUAACGGCUACCAAGACUACGAUGGUUAGGGCCCUGGGAGGGGAUCCCCCCCACUGGUACUGNACACGGACCAGACUCCUACGGAGGCAGCAGUGAGGAAUAUUGGACAAUGAGGAGACUCUGAUCCAGCCAUGCCGCGUGCAGGAAGACGGUCCUAUGGAUUGUAAACUGCUUUUAUACAGGAAGAAUAAGGACUACGUGUAGUCUGGUGACGGUACUGUAAGAAUAAGGACCGGCUAACUACGUGCCAGCAGCCGCGGUAAUACGGAGGGUCCGAGCGUUAUCCGGAAUUAUUGGGUCUAAAGCGUCCGUAGGCGCGCCAUUAAGUCAGGGGUGAAAGUUUGCAGCUCAACUGUAGAAUUGCCUUUGAUACUGAUGGUCUUGAAUUAUUGUGAAGUGGUUAGAAUAUGUAGUGUAGCGGUGAAAUGCAUAGAUAUUACAUAGAAUACCGAUUGCGAAGGCAGAUCACUAACAAUACAUUGACGGUGAUGGACGAAAGCGUGGGUAGCGAACAGGAUUAGAUACCCUGGUAGUCCACGCCGUAAACGAUGGAUACUAGCUGUGUGGUUUUCGGACUGCGCGGCCAAGCGAAAGUGAUAAGUAUCCCACCUGGGGAGUACGUUCGCAAGAAUGAAACUCAAAGGAAUUGACGGGGGCCCGCACAAGCGGUGGAGCAUGUGGUUUAAUUCGAUGAUACGCGAGGAACCUUACCAGGGCUUAAAUGUAGAUUGACAGGUUUAGAGAUAGACUUUCCUUCGGGCAAUUUACAAGGUGCUGCAUGGUUGUCGUCAGCUCGUGCCGUGAGGUGUCAGGUUAAGUCCUAUAACGAGCGCAACCCCUGUUGUUAGUUACCAGCACAUUAUGGUGGGGACUCUAGCAAGACUGCCGGUGCAAACCGUGAGGAAGGUGGGGAUGACGUCAAAUCAUCACGGCCCUUACGUCCUGGGCCACACACGUGCUACAAUGGUAGGUACAGAGAGCAGCCACUUAGCGAUAAGGAGCGAAUCUAUAAAACCUAUCACAGUUCGGAUCGGAGUCUGCAACUCGACUCCGUGAAGCUGGAAUCGCUAGUAAUCGGAUAUCAGCCAUGAUCCGGUGAAUACGUUCCCGGGCCUUGUACACACCGCCCGUCAAGCCAUGGAAGCUGGGGGUACCUGAAAGUUCGUCACCUGUAAGGAGCGAC